UGGGGAAUAUUGGACAAUGGGCGAAAGCCUGAUCCAGCCAUGCCGCGUGAGUGACGAAGGCCUUAGGGUUGUAAAACUCUUUCGUCGGGGACGAUAAUGACGGUACCCGAAGAAGAAGCUCCGGCUAACUUCGUGCCAGCAGCCGCGGUAAUACGAAGGGAGCUAGCGUUGUUCGGAAUCACUGGGCGUAAAGCGCACGUAGGCGGAUAGUUAAGUCAGGGGUGAAAUCCUGGGGCUCAACCCCAGAACUGCCUUUGAUACUGGCUGUCUCGAGGUCGAGAGAGGUUGGUGGAAUUCCUAGUGUAGAGGUGAAAUUCGUAGAUAUUAGGAAGAACACCAGUGGCGAAGGCGGCCAACUGGCUCGAUACUGACGCUGGGGUGCGAAAGCGUGGGGAGCAAACAGGAUUAGAUACCCUAGUAGUCCCUGAGCGGGCUGGCAAGGCGCAU
RNAcentral lists this ribosomal RNA (447 nucleotides) under uncultured bacterium. Its description in RNAcentral is "bacterial SSU rRNA". It matches the Rfam family "Bacterial small subunit ribosomal RNA", at positions 355 to 825 of the family's 1533-position model. The record is from RNAcentral.